Molecule: non-coding RNA, 146 nt
Filed under: Nomascus leucogenys (northern white-cheeked gibbon)
Lineage: Eukaryota; Metazoa; Chordata; Mammalia; Primates; Hylobatidae
Source: Rfam by way of RNAcentral
GCCGGGUGUGGUGGCGCACCUGUAGUCUCAGCUACUUGGGAGGCUGAGGUGGGAGGAUUGCUUGAGCCUGGGAGAUCGGGGCUGCAGUGAGCCGUGAUCAAACCACUGCACUCUAGCCUGGGCAACAGAGUGAGACCUCAUUUCAA